GAUGAACGCUGGCGGCGUGCCUAAUACAUGCAAGUCGAGCGAACAGACGAGGAGCUUGCUCCUCUGACGUUAGCGGCGGACGGGUGAGUAACACGUGGAUAACCUACCUAUAAGACUGGGAUAACUUCGGGAAACCGGAGCUAAUACCGGAUAAUAUAUUGAACCGCAUGGUUCAAUAGUGAAAGACGGUUUUGCUGUCACUUAUAGAUGGAUCCGCGCCGCAUUAGCUAGUUGGUAAGGUAACGGCUUACCAAGGCGACGAUGCGUAGCCGACCUGAGAGGGUGAUCGGCCACACUGGAACUGAGACACGGUCCAGACUCCUACGGGAGGCAGCAGUAGGGAAUCUUCCGCAAUGGGCGAAAGCCUGACGGAGCAACGCCGCGUGAGUGAUGAAGGUCUUCGGAUCGUAAAACUCUGUUAUUAGGGAAGAACAAAUGUGUAAGUAACUCUGCACGUCUUGACGGUACCUAAUCAGAAAGCCACGGCUAACUACGUG
RNAcentral lists this ribosomal RNA (497 nucleotides) under uncultured bacterium. RNAcentral describes it as "partial 16S ribosomal RNA". It matches the Rfam family "Bacterial small subunit ribosomal RNA", at positions 28 to 507 of the family's 1533-position model. The record is from RNAcentral.